GACGAACGCUGGCGGCGUGCUUAACACAUGCAAGUCGAACGGAAAGGCCCUGCUUUUGUGGGGUGCUCGAGUGGCGAACGGAUGAGUAACACGUGAGUAACCUGCCCUUGACUUUGGGAUAACUUCAGGAAACUGGGGCUAAUACCGGAUAGGAGCUCCUGCUGCAUGGUGGGGGUUGGAAAGUUUCGGCGGUUGGGGAUGGACUCGCGGCUUAUCAGCUUGUUGGUGGGGUAGUGGCUUACCAAGGCUUUGACGGGUAGCCGGCCUGAGAGGGUGACCGGCCACAUUGGGACUGAGAUACGGCCCCAACUCCUACGGGAGGCAGCAGUGGGGAAUAUUGCACAAUGGGCGGAAGCCUGAUGCAGCAACGCCGCGUGCGGGAUGACGGCCUUCGGGUUGUAAACCGCUUUCGCCUGUGACGAAGCGUGAGUGACGGUAAUGGGUAAAGAAGCACCGGCUAACUACGUG
RNAcentral lists this ribosomal RNA (468 nucleotides) under uncultured bacterium. RNAcentral describes it as "partial 16S ribosomal RNA". It matches the Rfam family "Bacterial small subunit ribosomal RNA", at positions 28 to 507 of the family's 1533-position model. The record is from RNAcentral.